Dipodomys ordii (Ord's kangaroo rat) is the source of this 70-nucleotide non-coding RNA. Lineage: Eukaryota; Metazoa; Chordata; Mammalia; Rodentia; Heteromyidae. The record is from Rfam.
GGGAAGGUGGCUCAGUGGUAGAGCACUUGCCUUGCAUCCUUGAGGCCCUGGGUUCGAUUCCUCAGCCCCA